Molecule: ribosomal RNA, 301 nt
Filed under: uncultured bacterium
Lineage: Bacteria
Description: partial 16S ribosomal RNA
Rfam family: Bacterial small subunit ribosomal RNA
Source: RNAcentral
CAGUCGCCGCGGUAAUACAGAGGGUGCAAGCGUUAAUCGGAAUUACUGGGCGUAAAGCGCGCGUAGGUGGUUUGUUAAGUUGGAUGUGAAAGCCCCGGGCUCAACCUGGGAACUGCAUCCAAAACUGGCAAGCUAGAGUACGGUAGAGGGUGGUGGAAUUUCCUGUGUAGCGGUGAAAUGCGUAGAUAUAGGAAGGAACACCAGUGGCGAAGGCGACCACCUGGACUGAUACUGACACUGAGGUGCGAAAGCGUGGGGAGCAAACAGGAUUAGAUACCCGCGUAGUCCCUGUCUAUUAUAA